GCUUACGGCCAUAUCACAUUAAAAACACGGGUUCUCGUCCGAUCACCGAAGUUAAGCAACAUCGAGCCUAGUUAGUACUUAGAUGGGUGACCGCUUGGGAAACCUAGGUGCUGUAAGCA
This 119-nucleotide ribosomal RNA is filed under the name Octopus vulgaris (common octopus). The record is from RNAcentral. RNAcentral also lists the same sequence under 1 other name. Lineage: Eukaryota; Metazoa; Mollusca; Cephalopoda; Octopoda; Octopodidae.